GCUGCACUGAAGAGAGGAUUACAGUUACCCACAAUGGGCAAACUUGUUUUUUCUGAAGCUGUGACUGAAGUUGAAAAGGGAUAUAUACUGAUUUCCUCUGACCUAAAUUACAAAUAUUAAGAAAUUGGAUGUUUCAUCAAGUGGAAGAAUUACUGUGGAAUACUUAACACUCUGCAAGCAGUUUUCUCUAGAUGAUUUUAAAGAAGACCACAAUCAUUUGAAAUAAGUGUCAAAAACAAAACAUUAACCUUCUAUAAACUUUCAAAUGCUGUGAAAUAAACAAUUUGUUGGUACAACCAACAUCACA
Thamnophis sirtalis is the source of this 307-nucleotide non-coding RNA. Lineage: Eukaryota; Metazoa; Chordata; Lepidosauria; Squamata; Natricidae. The record is from RefSeq and is a predicted model, not a curated record.